RNAcentral lists this non-coding RNA (28 nucleotides) under Mus musculus (house mouse). The record is from RNAcentral. Lineage: Eukaryota; Metazoa; Chordata; Mammalia; Rodentia; Muridae.
UGGAAAGGAUGAACGAACUUGGCCUGAC